AAUAGAUACCCGGGUAGUCUACGCCGUAAACGAUGGAUGCUAGCUGUAUUCGGUAUCGACCCCGGAUGUAGCGAAGCUAACGCGUUAAGCAUCCCGCCUGUGGAGUACGGUCGCAAGACUAAAACAUAAAGGAAUUGACGGGGACCCGCACAAGCGGUGGAGCGUGUUGUUUAAUUCGAUGGUAAGCGAAGAACCUUACCCAGGUUUGACAUCCUUGGAAUUUCUGCGAAAGCAGAGAGUGCUUUAUUGAGCCAAGUGACAGGUGAUGCAUGGCCGUCGUCAGCUCGUGUCGUGAGAUGUUUGGUUAAGUCCAUUAACGAGCGCAACCCUUGUAGUUAGUUGAAUUUUUCUAGCUAGACUGCCCCGGUAACGGGGAGGAAGGAGGGGAUGAUGUCAGGUCAGUAUUUCCCUUACAUCUGGGGCUACAAACACGCUACAAUGGCCGGUACAAAGGGCAGCCAACCCGCGAGGGGGAGCAAAUCCCAUCAAAGCCGGUCUCAGUUCGGAUAGCAGGCUGAAACUCGCCUGCUUGAAG
RNAcentral lists this ribosomal RNA (535 nucleotides) under uncultured bacterium. RNAcentral's name for it is "bacterial SSU rRNA". It matches the Rfam family "Bacterial small subunit ribosomal RNA", at positions 777 to 1325 of the family's 1533-position model. The record is from RNAcentral.